This 253-nucleotide ribosomal RNA is filed under the name uncultured bacterium. RNAcentral's name for it is "partial 16S ribosomal RNA". It matches the Rfam family "Bacterial small subunit ribosomal RNA", at positions 524 to 776 of the family's 1533-position model. The record is from RNAcentral.
UACGUAGGUGGCAAGCGUUGCCCGGAUUUACUGGGCGUAAAGAGCGCGCAGGCGGUCGUCCAAGUCGCGUGUGAAAGCCCCCGGCUCAACUGGGGAGGGUCACGCGAUACUGGUCGACUCGAAGGCAGGAGAGGGUAGUGGAAUUCCCGGUGUAGUGGUGAAAUGCGUAGAUAUCGGGAGGAACACCAGUGGCGAAGGCGACUUCCUGGCCUGUUCUUGACGCUGAGGCGCGAAAGCUAGGGUAGCAAACGGG